GGUUAAGAGCUGAUUAAUUGGACGUUACCCACAGAAGAAGCACCGGCUAACUCCGUGCCAGCAGCCGCGGUAAUACGGAGGGUGCGAGCGUUAAUCGGAAUUACUGGGCGUAAAGGGUGCGUAGGUGGUUGGAUAAGUUAUCUGUGAAAUCCCUGGGCUCAACCUGGGAAGGUCAGAUAAGACUGUUUGACUCGAGUAUAGGAGAGGGUAGUGGAAUUUCCGGUGUAGCGGUGAAAUGCGUAGAGAUCGGAAGGAACACCAGUGGCGAAGGCGGCUACCUGGCCUGAUACUGACACUGAAGCACGAAAGCGUGGGGAGCAAACAGGAUUAGAUACCCUGGUAGUCCACGCCGUAAACGAUGUCAACUA
This 368-nucleotide ribosomal RNA is filed under the name uncultured Legionella sp. Its description in RNAcentral is "bacterial SSU rRNA". It matches the Rfam family "Bacterial small subunit ribosomal RNA", at positions 451 to 818 of the family's 1533-position model. The record is from RNAcentral. Lineage: Bacteria; Pseudomonadati; Pseudomonadota; Gammaproteobacteria; Legionellales; Legionellaceae.